AUGUACCUGGCCAUCUUGCUGGGUAAUAGAGUCAUCGUUAAGAAACUGUAUAAAAUGAGUGAUUACGGUACAAGUCUUUCCUACUCCGGCCCAAAUGGACAAAAUGCAUUACAUGCUGCUGCUACCCGAGGACGAGUAUUUACUAAGAAGCUGUUAAAGUGGAACAAGGCCCUUUCAGCGCAAAAGGAUGAAACAGGGUGUAUGCCUCUUCACUUCGCCGCGGCCAAGUCGCCAAACUCAUCUUAUUCAACACAGUUUCAUGACGAUCUGCAUGAAUGGCGAAAGAGCAAUUCAACCAUCGCCAGACAAAUGCGCAAGAGGCUCUUGUCUCUAUUGAGGAUGGAUGGCUGGCCAAAAGUCUGCCUCAAGCUGCUCGAAGCAAACCCAGCCGCGUUGUAUGAGCCAGACCACCGUGGGUCAUAUCCGAUACACGUAGCUACCUCAGUGGGCGCGACCAGGAAGGUUCUCCUGUUUCUUAACAGGCACCCUGGGAGUGCCGGCCUGCGCGAUGCGCGUGGCCGGACUUUCCUGCAUGUCGCCGUCGAGAAGAUGGCUGUGGGGAUCCUGUAUCAUGCUACCAGGGAUAAGUCGCUAGAAUGGAUUCUCAACAUGCGCGACAAGGAUGGGAACACGGCAUGCACCUUGCAGUCCAAGGUGGGAGACUUCGAGUGUUCUGCCGUCUGCUUGGGAAUCUGA
This 696-nucleotide ribosomal RNA is filed under the name Triticum aestivum (bread wheat). Its description in RNAcentral is "partial small subunit ribosomal RNA". Lineage: Eukaryota; Viridiplantae; Streptophyta; Magnoliopsida; Poales; Poaceae. The record is from RNAcentral.